Molecule: ribosomal RNA, 931 nt
Filed under: uncultured marine bacterium
Lineage: Bacteria
Description: bacterial SSU rRNA
Rfam family: Bacterial small subunit ribosomal RNA
Source: RNAcentral
UCGAGCGAAGCUUUUCAGUAGUUUACUACAGAAAAUGACUGAGCAGCGAACGGGUGAGUAACGCGUGAGCAACCUACCUUAGUUACCGGGAUAGCCCGAGGAAACUCGGAUUAAUACCGGAUAUUCUUAUUUAAUCACAUGAUUUUUUAAGGAAAGGUCAGCCGAACUAAGAUGGGCUCGCGUUCUAUCAGCUAGUUGGUAGGGUAAUGGCCUACCAAGGCUACGACGGAUAGCUGGUCUGAGAGGACGAUCAGCCACACUGGGACUGAGACACGGCCCAGACUCCUACGGGAGGCUGCAGCAGGGAAUAUUGCGCAAUGAGCGAAAGCUUGACGCAGCGACACCGCGUGUGGGAUGACGGAUCUAGGUUUGUAAACCACUUUCAGGAGGGAAGAAAAUGACGGUACCUCCACAAGAAGCCCCGGCCAACUACGUGCCAGCAGCCGCGGUAAUACGUAGGGGGCGAGCGUUGUCCGGAUUUAUUGGGCGUAAAGAGCUCGUAGGCGGUUCAACAAGUCGGUCGUGAAAGUUCAGGGCUCAACCCUGAAAUGUCGAUCGAUACUGUUGUGACUAGGAUACGGUAGAGGUGAGUGGAAUUCCGAGUGUAGCGGUGAAAUGCGUAGAUAUUCGGAGGAACACCAAUUGCGAAGGCAGCUCACUGGGCCGCUAUUGACGCUGAGGAGCGAAAGCUAGGGGAGCAAACAGGAUUAGAUACCCUGGUAGUCCUAGCUGUAAACGAUGGAUACUAGACGUAGGAAUUGGAUUAACGAUUUCUGUGUCGUAGCUAACGCGUUAAGUAUCCCGCCUGGGGAGUACGGUCGCAAGACUAAAACUCAAAGGAAUUGACGGGACCCGCACAAGCGGCGGAGCAUGCGGCUUAAUUCGAUGAUACCCGUAGAACCUUACCUGGACUUGACAUAUAGGGAAAAAU